Molecule: small RNA, 3959 nt
Filed under: Oryza sativa Japonica Group (Japanese rice)
Lineage: Eukaryota; Viridiplantae; Streptophyta; Magnoliopsida; Poales; Poaceae
Description: sRNA Os04g0271450
Source: RNAcentral
GUUAAUAAAGUAAACAACUAAAAUAGUAUAACAAGUAAUUAUAUGCAAGCAUACUCUCUCCCCUUUCACUCUGUUCGUCUCCUCUCUCAUUCAAUUCAUCCAUCUUCUAAUUUUUAACUAAUUAGUAAAAAUGAUCAAUAAUUACAAACAACAGAAUCAACUAUAUUAGAUUUUUAACUAAUUAUUAUUCUUAAGAUUAUAAUUACUCCGUAGCAUUAUGAGUUUAUUUGUAUAUAAUUGCAUAUAUAAGCCACACUAAGAUAGCAGUAUAUAGUUGUUGAAAAGUUUUAUUUGUUACUAUUAAAUUUAAGUUUUCAGAUUCAUGUUAACUAGGUAUUAUCUUUUAAAAAGGAUAAUAUAGAUCAUGCAUAUCACAAGGAAAUGAGGCCUAUGAUACAUCUUUGUUAAUUUAUAUGUAAGUAUAUAACAUUUUGUGUAAAUCUGAACCAUCUAGAAGGAGGACUAAUUUGGUGGGACAAAUAAAGCAUAUUUAUUAACAGUAAUAGUUCUUUAGGAUUUAUUUUAAAAAAUACUAAACAUUCAAUUAAACAAGACAAAUCACCUUAUUUUUAUUUACACUUAAUUUAUUAGACAUGUUUUUCAAACAAAGUAAAUCUAACUUUACGAUGAAGAAGAGAUGAUAGAUAAUUGUUUAUAGGGAUGUAUUAAAUAUUACAUAUUUAAAUUCUAACGAAUAGUUUGGUAAAAUUAUGUAAGCAAUGUCGAUGAAAAGAAAUAGAGAAAUGAUACUUUGAAAACAUGGUAGGUGUCAUCCGGUUGAUAUUUAAUCUAUAUAAUUAAGUAUUUAAUAAGCAAUCUAUAACACAUGCCCGCGCAUUCGCGCGGGCUAUCUUUCUAGUUAAUAUAAUGGUUACAAGGUAGAAUCUCUCUACCUUUUACGUCAAAAAAAAUGUGGCAAAUAGUUAAAUGCUGCACAUAAACUUUUUUUGGGACUUCCCAUAGCGUUUUGGACGGUUUUCGUAGGGUUUAAAUUUGGCUCAUUUUCCUUUCAAAACAAAGUUAGCUUAACUGCUUGAAAUCAUAUUUUGUAUUUAAGAUACGAACUCAUUAUUUGGCUUUAUGCUUAUGCUUAUUUGAAUCAGUUAUUAGCAAUAUAAACAUAAUAUGGAUAAAAAAUUUUAUAUGUGUUCUUAGUGAUUCAAAAGCAAAUGUUGCUACGAUGAGAAAACCACAAAAUCAACUUCAAAAUUAAGUUAUAAAAUUUAAAACUGCUUAUAAGCAUAAGUGAAACAAUGGGACUCAUAAUUGCAUACCAGUAAUAAAUAUGCAAAUGUGCCAAUUCUCUAUAGCCCGCAGUGCAAAGUGUGCAACAUACAGCAUAACAGGCUAACAGCAAACGCAGAAAGAGUGCAACUUGAAACAAGCCGGCAAAUUUUGGAUCAAUCAUUCAAUAAUUUAACCAGGUAAAAUAUCAUACAAUUCUUGGUAGAAGACUACAGUUACAACAAAUGAUGGGCAGUUACUACAGUUACAACAAAUGCUGGGAUUAAGAUAGUAGUUCUUUCCAACAUUUCCUCAUCUACAGACUUGUACUAAAAGAGUAGCAAAUAUGAGCUAUUUAGGCAGAUCCUUAAGCCACACAUGAAAAAUUCAAGAAAGCUCUUGAGCAUCACCAUUAUGCAGCCUUAGCCUUUGCCAAUGCCUUCUUCCGUUGGGCAAGCAUGUAGGUGAACAUGUGAGGCGAUCCUGCAACGCAGUGUUCUUGUCAGAUCCUAUCUUAAUCCCAGCUACUAAAAAACAACAUUGCAAUUCUAGUUUUAAUUUCAACCACUGAAUAAAGGAUGACUGCAAGGCAGGAGGGGAUACCGGGCACGUAGAUGGCGAGAGAAAGGAUGGAUGCAUAGAAGAAAUCAAAGGAGAAGUUCCAUUUGUUGGGCAUCCUAAGGCAGUAUUUCUCUGAUGCCUGCAUAGUAGUCACAAGAAAGGAGCAGUUAAAUUACGCAUUAUGCAUUAUGCAAUGAACAACGUGGAGAUCUUCAUUUCUGAAGUUCAUUCUUGUUACCUUCAUGUAAGGCAAGGCAAUGUAGAUUAAACCGACCUCACUGCUGAUACCAGUAGGAUACAAUACCAUAAAGGUGCUAUACCUGUACAAAAUCAGCACCAGGUUUAAGAAAAAAAGUUAUGAAAGAAAAAGAAAAUCAUUCCCUCUAAAUUUGUCCUAAAUAAUGAUAUAUCUUCUUUACUAACCUCAGCCAUAAGAGCCAGGAAGGAGCAAAUCCGAAUGCCUCCUUCAUGCCAAAGAAGGAAUAUCUAAUGAUCUGCAAGGAACCACAAAUAUUUCCAUCACGUUAUGCUAUCAAAUUCACAAUAUUUUAAAUAUUGGUGUGAAUAAGCUUAGCACAGGAAAAAUCAAAAUUAGAAUUUGGAAAAUACAGUGUCUCUUUAAGAAGCAAGUCUUUAAAAUAUACCUCAGUGAUGGACCAGCUUAUGACCAAGGAAGUAACAAGGAUAUGUGAAUGUGUCUGCAAGACAAAUGUACAAAGGGGUCAAUCAAUAUAUAUGUCAAGAAACCAGGUGUUAAGCUACACUACAAGUAUGCAACUAACAGAAAACUAGGGAUGCAAAAGUAAAGGCACUGCAUUUGCAUAUCAGUACCAGUAGUUAUGCCAUUUAGUAACUUGUACAAUCAUCACCAUUAUUUACUUGAUCCACAACCAGAUAUAAAACAGACAAACUACCUAGUGUCCUGUCCUCAUAUAAAAAUCAAAUCAUAUAAUCCAUAUUUCCUAUUUAGACAAUGGUUUUAAACCCCAAAAUUAUGUCAUGUUUCAAUGUCUCGGAGAAACAGUAAGCGCUUAGGAGAAGUGUCUAACUAAAGAAGAAAAUUUCCAAAUCUCAUGAACAUAGCACAUCAACACUUGUUAGUGAUAGUCGAUGAUACCUCUGGAAAGCUCCACAGGAUGCCCCAGGUAAGAAACAACCUCGAUCCAAUUUGUGGAAGAGUUGCAGAGACUGGAGACCUCACCAAACCUUUAAAACAAAGUCAGCAUGUUAUACAGGUGAAAAAAAUGAAAGUGCCGUAAAAGUGAACUUAUUAAGUACAAUUAUUUUCAUAAUCUAACAGGACACUUCCUGUAAAUUGAAAUGUGUCUUUGACGUGCUUUCUAACAAGAAAGUCUAUUUCCAUGCAGUUUGCAAGCGGCACGCUAUAGACAGAAACCGUACGAUUCCAAAUGAUGACAAGGAUAGUGAAAAUAACAUAAGUAGAAGAGAAGAACAACUUCUUACCUACAAGCCCAUGAAGAAUCUGAGCCACCAGCAACGCCAUCGCCAAACAAACACAAAAAUGUUCAGUACCUCACAAAACACAAUUUGCAAAGAAAUGAAAUAAACAUGGAAUACUCGUUCAUUCUGUGUUCACCGCAGACUCGUUCAGCUGCUCCGUGCAAAGAAUAUAAAUGCUUCCUUAUCCAGGGAACUACAAGGAAUUUAACACAAAGUAUAGGGCAGCAGAAAUUUUUCUUUUCUUUUUAGCAGAAUUAUCGGGGGAGAGGAUCAGGCAGCAGAAACAUAAUAACAUUGAAGUUGAAUUAAUUGCAGUAUAUUUUGCUAUAACACUGGUAAUAUUUCUCUCAGGCUAAAUGUUUGGUUGAUUUUUAGAACGCAAAAGGGGAUAAAUUUUUUUCCUCUGUGCCAUUGCUCAACACCAGCAACCCUAAUUGGGUAGACGAAAAAUUCAAAAUUAAGUCAGAGCUGCCCAAAUUAUACAAGCUUGCGCUAAAAUCUACAGUUUUACUGCGAUUAAAAUUCAAAAAUAAGUCAGAGCGCACAGAAUAGCAGAAAAACCAGACCUCCAAGAAGGCGGCGGUCUGCGCGAACUGCAGCGGCCGCUCGACGGCGGCGUAGACGGCCUCAUGGCCGCUCUCCAGCAGCGUCGUGACCGCGUAGUACAGCACCUGCGCCCUGCAAGAUCCAAGAAACCCCCAAAUCAAGCCAAG